This 7556-nucleotide long non-coding RNA is filed under the name Cricetulus griseus (Chinese hamster). RNAcentral's name for it is "lncRNA (ENSCGRG00015031632.1)". Lineage: Eukaryota; Metazoa; Chordata; Mammalia; Rodentia; Cricetidae. The record is from RNAcentral.
CUCAUAUAUAAACAAGGGCAAGAAGGAAGUGGGCCCCUUCUCCUUUACUCCAGACUCACCAUGUGAUCCACCGGCAAGAGAGGGCACCAGGGAAGGCAUCCUCUAUAAGAUAAGUCUUAUAAAAUACAUAGAUUUAUGAUAAUUAAGACUGAGCUAACAGAUGAGAAAUCCUAGUCAUUGGCCAAGCAGCAUUUGUACCUAAUAGAAGUCUCUGUGUAUUAUUUGGGGCCCUAACUCGGCAGGCAGAACUCCGGCGGCUGGCAGAAAGCGCCCAUGUGGUGGUAGGACUCUGGUGGCUUUUGGCGGAAAGAUUUAUCGUAACAGAGGCUCUUGUCUCCCUCACUGGAAUUUAAAAGGGUUUCUCUGCAUAGCUCCAGCUGUCCUGGAACUAGCUCUGUAGACCAGGCUGGCCUCGAACUCAAAGAGGCCAGAAGAAGGCAUUGGGUCCCAGGAACUGGAAUUACAGAUGGUGCGAGCUGCUGUUGCUGUGUAGGUGCUGGGGCUCGAACCCUGGUCCUCUUUAAAGAAUCUGGCAGAGUGAAGUGGAAUGGGCCAAGGCUGUACACCCCCGAUGCCUGCUCUCAAUGACAUGCUUCCUCCAGCAAGGCUGUGUGUAUCCUGAUGGUUAGGAAGUACAUAACCUCCCCCACAGUGUCACCAGCUGGGGAAACAAAUGUUCAAAUACAUGAGCCUGUGGGGGACAUUUUCAUUCAAACCACCAUAAUCAGCUGCCUCUGUCUGUCUUGAUAUGUGUAUAUUGAAAGUUGCUUAUGUCAAAGGUGAAAGAGAGGUUUAGUAGAUGGAAAUAUUUAUUUAUGCAAAGCUCUGUUUACUUUUCAGUAUGGAUCUAAUUAGGGAAGCCAGUGCAAAGGUACCGUGUGGCAAUGCAUGUAUGUACCUGUGUUUGGUAGUGUGUGUGUGUGUGUGUGUGUGUGCGCGUGCACGCAUGAGCAUGUGUAAAUAGAGCUGAGUUAGCCAGGCGUUGGUGGCACACUCCUUUAAUCCCAGCGCUCGGGAGGCAUAGGCAGGCGGACCUCAGUGAGUUUAAGACCAGCCUGGUCUACAAGAGAAAGUUCCAGGACAGCCUCCAAAGCCACAGAGAAACCCUGACUCCAAAAACCAAAAGAAAAAAAAGCUGAGUCCAAGAGCCAAGAGAGGCACCCAGGAAAGCUGCAACUGUGCAGGGAGAAGAAAUACCUGAUUCUGGACUUGGAGGGGCUGAUAUUGCAUGGACUCUGUCUGAGUGAGGCCCCUAACCAUCUGUACUGCCCAUCUGAACAGGGCUCCUGAACCCCCUAUGAGAAUACUUCUUGAAGAAGUAAACGACCUUGUGUUUCUAGUGCUUUCUGUCAUCCUGUGUGUGUGUGUGUGUGUGUGUGUGUGUGUGUGUGUGUGUUGUGUUUUCUUGUGUUUGUAUAGGUGUGUGUAUGUGUGUGCAUAUGUGUUCAUGUGUGUCAAGGCCAGAGAGAUAACAUUAAGUAACUUCCCCUAUUGCUCUCUAUUUUAUUUAUUUUUUAAAGGUUUGUUCAUUUUUAUUCUAUGUGUAUGAGUGUUUUGCCUGCAUCUAUGUCUUUGCAUCACAUGUAUACUGAAGCCCAUGGAGGCCAGAGGAGGGCAUCAGAUCCCCUGGAACUGGAGUCACAGACAGUUGUGAGCUGCCAUGGGGGUGCUGGAUUCUUAAACUGGGUCCCCUGCAAGAGCUAAGUAAGUUCUCUUCACCCCCGAGCCAGCUCUCUAGCCCCCUUAUUUAUUUAUUAUUUAUAAGACAGGCCCUCACUGUGCAGUUUUUGUUGGCCUAGAACUUGCUGUACAGACCACUCUGGCCUUGAACACACUGAGAUCUGUCUCCGAAGCAGGGAUUAAAUGUGUGCCUCCCACCCAGCUCCACCUAAGCUGUUUGAGACAGGGUCUUUUGGUGAAUCUGGAGGUCAUCACCCUGGAGCUUGCUGGCUGGCCCCUGUCUCCACCUCUCUAGCCCUGGGGUUAUGGCUGUGUGCUGGCAACACUGGGCUUUCACAUGGGCAUCGGGGGUUAAAACCAGGUCCUGAUGAUUGUGCUGGAGCACUUUGUCCCAGAGACAUCUCCCCAGCCUCCCAUUAGCAGUCCCAACCCAAAGCUUAGUCCAUGGUACCCACUAGGCAGAUGGAGACAACUUUUGCCCCAGAUUGCCCAGUGCUACGGAGACAUUAGAUCUUUAGGAGUUACUUGUCCCCAUCCCUCCAUGGCAAUAGUACCGGGGCCCCGACUUUCCUCCCCCCAAUCCUUUCCGUGGCUUCUGGCUUCUGCCGUGAUGUCCCUUUGCCUAGGCUGGCUCCACCGGGAACCCGUUGACUGUGGAGGUGGUUCUGCAAACCCCAAACUAAGAGCCUGUUUUGACACGGCUGGGAGCAAAGCUGAGAGCAAGUCUCCAGAGCGGCAAUUGCUUCAUUCAGUUCUGGGAUGCCCCCCACACACCUAAAGUGAAGCGAUGAGCCCCUCCUCCCAGCUACCCAGCAAGCAGCCAUUUAUUCCCAAUUGCUCCCCACAGUAUAGGUCAAUUAGAGAGGAAGCCAGCAGGACUGGGGGCACGGGCAAUUCUUUUGAGGGCAGGAGACCCCUGGGCUGCCUAGUCACAGGCACCCCCUCCAUUCACAUGCUAUGUAGGAAUGCAAACUCCCAGAAAGGGAGUGGGGAUUCUGUCCAAUGCAGAGCCACGGAGUAAAUGGCCCUGGUCCUGGACACUUCCCAAGUGAGAUUUACAGUUCUGGCUCACUCUGCUCAGGCAGAAACAGCCACUUCAGCCAUAUCAGGAAUGGCCUCUUAUUGUUGACUUCCCUUUGGGGAUACGUUUUUCACAGCUAGCUAAUGCUUUUGUUUCAAGGUAGGAGGGGUUCUCAGUCUUUCCCUUCUGAAUUGUGGUUGGAUUUCUCUUUAAUCAUUUAUUUCCAAGUUCUUUUUGUAGGGCAUAUCACUGUAAUUAGCAGCCAAUGCUACAUUUCCACGGUUGCCUUACUUUCCAUGUGCUCCAUAGUCUCCAUGAAGUCCACCAUCCCAGCCGGGCCCAUCACGGUCUUCAUGCCUCUUAGAUAGAAGCCAUUUUGCACCCCACCCCAAUAAAUCUCUGGUAUAAGGUCCAUUUCAAGGUGUGAUUUUUUUUUUUUUUUUUGUGAUAUUCCUUAGCCUUCGAUCGUUGAGAUACUCUUGUUGCAAACCGUUUCAUUUUCUCUUGUGAUUUCAUAGUAUUUCGUUUCCUUUCCCCUUACAUUUUCAGAACACUGUUUCGGUCUUACCAGUGUUUUCUGGACCUUCCUGUCCAGCUGAAUUGCUCAGAACAAGCAAAUAGUUAGGUCGGAGCCACAUUCCAGGCCAUUUAAGUCAGAAUCUCCAGGGGCUGGGUCCUGCCUGGCCUGGGAAGAGAAACUUCCCUGACUAUUCUGAUGUGCUGAGAGAGAAGCAAGCUGAAUCCAACCCACGGAGGUAUCUCAAGGCCUGUGUGAAUGGAGAAAAGCGGAAACUCUCAGUAUGACUCAGCUGCAGCAGGCUUUGGGAGUGGACAUCAAAUGAUAACUACAAAAAAGCAAGAAACAAGCACAAAAGCCUAUCAGGAAACCCCCCAAAGAAGUGAAGUCUUGGGGGCUGGUGAGAUGUCUCAGCAGGUAAAAAGUGCUUGCACGCAAGCCUGAUGGCCUGAGUUCCGACCCUGGAACCUGCAUUUCAAAGUCAGACUCUGUGACACGUAGCUGUCCUCCUAUUGGAGAUGGGGUGUGGAAGCAGGAGAAUCGCCCAGAAGCUCUUGGGCCUGGUAGCUGGGAGUAUGCAGCCCAGUGGGAGAAAUGAGAGAACCUCUGCCCUCCACACACAUGCUGUGUGGUAUGUGUGCAUGCACUUUUAGGUUUGAAGGAUUUUGAAAUAUGGUGGAUUUGCAGAAAUUCCCAUUUGAGACCUCAGUCUGCAUAAACACAAGUCACCUGGGGGUCAAUGCAGCUGGACCUUCAUCCCCUUCCUUCAUAUCAGAGGCAAGUCUGUUUUCAAGAACACAGUGUGACUGGUUUACAAGCGGCCCGUGUCCCAUCAAAUGCAGUCAGUGUGGGCACUCCCAACUGCAUUUCAUUAAUGCCUCCAAAGACAUCGCAAAGGGUACAGCCUUCAUGCAAGGGAAGAUCAAAAUGCCGAGCAAGCAUUUUAUUCUUCUCUGAGUUACAGAUACCUUCUGACCCCAGGCAAACGCGCAGUGAGGCCCCACCCAUAAUUACUAAAUUACAACCCACUUGCCCUGUUUUAUUUUGCUGUAGUCCAAAGAGAACUUACGGUGAUCUUGAGAAGUACAAAUAGAACGAUCCGUCUAUGUGUGGGCUGAAACUUCUACAGUGUGGUUAUUCCUAUGACGAUGUCUCCAGGACAACAGACAGGGAAAGAUCUGCAGCCAUUUAUCAGAAGGGAAACAAUUUUCUUUUGGGCAAUAGUAUUUCCAUUUUACAAUGGGAAAAUCAUCCUGAGAGGUUAAAUAUCUUGCCUGAAAUCGCCCAGCGACUAGCCAACAGGGGCAGGAUUUAAACACAGGUCUGGACAGGAAAGUCAUGUUUGUUCUCACCUUGCUCUGGGCCCUUCACUGUGCCCCAGUGCUGACUGUGGCAAGUCCUUCUGCUUUGUUCAUCAGAGCUCAGAUUCAGGUUUUGAUUUCCUAAUAGAUACUACUGUGAGGUAGUGCAAAUGGCAGACUAGGCAACUCGUAGUAUAGUUAGUUAGCUGGAAAUUUCUAUCUGCAGUGGGAAACAAGGGCUGACUGGAUGUCAUGGACCUGCCACUCUGUCAGUCACGUGUCUAAGUGUAUUAGAAGGAGCUGGUGUAUAUUUCUAGAAGCCUCAUGUCAGAAGGUGAGGCUGGGCCAAGGAGACCUGCACGCUGCUUCACCAGGGUCUCUCUAAAUACCGGUGGCCCCAGGCUCAGCCCUGUACCCUCUUUUGGCUGACAUCUAUGUUGUUGCUUGUUCUAAUGUUUGAAUCUUCCAAAUUUUAUAUCCAUCUUUUAUUUCUCCUUCAAGAAUUUGGCCUCAAGCCUCUACACACCCACUCAGCAUCUCUGUUUAGUCCCACAAGCAAAGUGGUGGAUUUGGCUCCUUAGCGUCCUCUUGUCUUCCUCUUCCAGGCUUUGCACAGGGCUCCACACCCCACUUGCUUCCUGCACACAGAGAUGGGACAGUCUCCUACAGUCCACUUGUGAAGAAGCAGAAGAAUUCUUUAAAAUCUGAAGGGGGGGCUUUAGAAAGUUGGCUCAGUUGUUAAGAGUCCUGGGGGCUCUUGCAGAAGAUGGGGUUCAGUUCCCCACACUCACAUGGUGGCUCACAACCACCUGUAACUCCAGGUCCAGGGGAUCUGCUGUCCUCUUUUGACCUCUGAGGGCACUAGGCACACAUUUGGUGUACACACACACACACACACACACACACACACACACACACACACACAGGCAAAACACUCAUAUAUGUAAAAUAGAAUAAAUAAAUCUUAAGAAAUUAAAAUUUUAGAAAGUAAUACAGAUUGGGAACAAAGAUAUAAAACUGUCCUUAUUUGUAGGUGAUGUGUUUUUCUAUGUAAAAAACAACAACAAAAAAAACCCAAGGUAUCUAAAAAAACAAAACAAAAACAAAAACCUUCUGGAACUAGUCAGUGUUUUGGGUGAGGAAGAGUGUAAGAAAACUUGAAAUCUAUAUGCCAGUAACAAACACAAGGAAAAUAAAAUGAAAAACACAAUACUAUUUACAAACCACAUUAAAAAUUACCUAGGUAGAAAUCUAGAGUGUGCACAGGAUCUCUUCGUUGAAAUUUACAACCACAUUAAAAAAAAAAAUACAUAUGUCAGCUGGUGGUGAUGAACGCCUUUAAUCUCAGCACUUGGGAGGCAGAGGCAGGUGGAUCCCUGUGAGUUCAAGGCCAGCCUGGUCUACAGAGUGAGUUCUGGGACAGCUAGGGCUGUUACACAGACAAACCUUGUCUCGAAAAUAAUAAUAAUAAUAAUAAUAAUAAUAAUAAUAAUAAUAAUAAUAAAUAAAUAAAUCUAGAAUGUGCACAGGAACCCUCUGUUGAAAACAGCAAAAUACCAGUACAAGAAAUCAGACCUAAACAAUGGAAAGUGAAGAAAUCAGACCUAAACAAUGGAAAGUGAAGAAAUCAGACCUAAACAAUGGAAAGUGAAGAAAUCAGAUCUAAACAAUGGAAAGUCAAGCUGCACAAAAUACCCAGGGUCAGUGGCUAUUUUUAGCCAUUGUUCUCCCCAGUGGGGUUAUCCUCAGAGAAUCCUUACUGCCCGGGCUCCCCUUUCAUAAGUUUCUCCGGGGUAUCUGCAUCUCCUCCCCCUGCCUCCCCCUUUCAGUUUGAGGAGAACAGUCCAUCGUCAUAUGACAACAGGAACAUGAGGCAACUGGUGACAGUGGCCUCCGCCCCUGCCCCAUGGCCUCCACUCCUGGCUGUGACCGGCAGACAGAGCUUUAUAGAAAGGUCUCAUGGAAGCAGAUGCUGAAUGCUCAGCCCGCAUCCCCUCAAGACCGGAGAGGGUGACAUUUCUGGACAUUCAGAACUAAAUACGAAGCCAAAGAUAACAGUCCCAGUGGCUGGGAGCCUAUGGUGCUACAGCAAGCAUAUAGGCAAUUAGAAUGGAGGACAAGCCGGGCAUUGGUGGCGCACACCUUUAGUCCCAGCACUCAGGAGGCAGAGGCAGGAGGAUCUCUGUGAGUUUGAGACCAGCCUGGUCUACAAGAGCUAGUUCCAGGACAGCCUCCAAAGCCACAGAGAAACCCUGUCUCGAAAAACCAAAAAAAAAAAAAAAAAAAAAAAAAAAGAACAGAGGACAACUUGUAGGAUCAGUUCUCUCCCUCUGCCACGAGGGCCCCAUGGAUGGAGCUUACGUUGUUAGAACCUAAGGUGUGUCCAGAUGGACUGUUCUCGGCCAUGAGUACUGAGAGGAGGGAUGCAGUGUUCUUCUGAGUCCACGGUGUCAACCUGCCAUGUCUCUGGUGCCUCGUCUCCUUUGUUUUCCUUUCUGCAAACACACAAAGCAGACCAGUAGAAUUAAAGACACAGAGGCCAGCAGUAAACAGAGUCAAGGAGGUUCACAUCAGAGAUCAGAAGAUGUGGCUUCCGUUCACGGUGUUUGCAGACUUAGUGCGAGAUCCUGUCUGAAAAACAAGGUGGAUGACUUCUGAGAAAGGAUGACUUGCCUUCCAAGCGGCUGAAUUCAUGGCAGAAGAAACAUCCAGGGAGCACCUGCAGUUUGCAAGACACCUGGACAGAGCACAGACUCCCCCAGGCCUCUCUGAGCCUUGGCACUGACUGCAGAGUAAGACUCAGGGAGAGAUUCGUGCAAGUACUAAAGACCAGUUCUGACAGACGUUGCCUUAGUGGCCUUCUUUCAGCCAGGAAUUGCCUGUUUGCUGUUUGAGUCCCAGAGCGGCCCUUGCUCACUAGGGCUUCUCAUUCUCCCUUCCUGAGGGUAUUUUCUGUGUGGCUUAGAAUAAAGAUUGGACUAUGUAGAUGUUACCAUGGCAACUGGUGUUUUAAAUAAAAAUAGUGCUACACCCCCGG